Molecule: non-coding RNA, 201 nt
Organism: Lonchura striata (white-rumped munia)
Lineage: Eukaryota; Metazoa; Chordata; Aves; Passeriformes; Estrildidae
Source: RefSeq, a predicted model, not a curated record
UGGAGAAUGCUUGCUCAUGAGGAGGAGGAUCAGUGCUGAAGAGUUCAUGCAUCAGAGCCUGCCCUACCUGAGGGACUCUCAGUCCUCGGUGCGCCUGGCGGCCGUCAGGUUCAUCAGGUGCGCCACGAGGCACAUCAGGGAGCAGGAUUUGGAGACUCAGGCUCACAUCCUCAGUGCCCUUCAGCCCUUAGAGGGAGACAG